RNAcentral lists this transfer RNA (75 nucleotides) under Herposiphonia versicolor. RNAcentral describes it as "tRNA-Ala". It matches the Rfam family "tRNA". From Rfam's summary of the family: Transfer RNA (tRNA) molecules are approximately 80 nucleotides in length. Their secondary structure includes four short double-helical elements and three loops (D, anti-codon, and T loops). The record is from RNAcentral. Lineage: Eukaryota; Rhodophyta; Florideophyceae; Ceramiales; Rhodomelaceae.
GGGAAUAUAGUUUUAAAAAAGGUAAAACAUGUAAUUUGCAUUUAUAAGUUAUUGGUUCAAGUCCAAUUAUUUCCA